Molecule: ribosomal RNA, 484 nt
Filed under: uncultured bacterium
Lineage: Bacteria
Description: partial 16S ribosomal RNA
Rfam family: Bacterial small subunit ribosomal RNA
Source: RNAcentral
AUUGAACGCUGGCGGCAGGCCUAACACAUGCAAGUCGAGCGGAUGAAGGGAGCUUGCUCCUGGAUUCAGCGGCGGACGGGUGAGUAAUGCCUAGGAAUCUGCCUGGUAGUGGGGGAUAACGUCCGGAAACGGGCGCUAAUACCGCAUACGUCCUGAGGGAGAAAGUGGGGGAUCUUCGGACCUCACGCUAUCAGAUGAGCCUAGGUCGGAUUAGCUAGUUGGUGGGGUAAAGGCCUACCAAGGCGACGAUCCGUAACUGGUCUGAGAGGAUGAUCAGUCAUACUGGAACUGAGACACGGUCCAGACUCCUACGGGAGGCAGCAGUGGGGAAUAUUGGACAGUGGGCGAAAGCCUGAUCCAGCCAUGCCGCGUGUGUGAAGAAGGUCUUCGGAUUGUAAAGCACUUUAAGUUGGGAGGAAGGGCAGUAAGUUAAUACCUUGCUGUUUUGACGUUACCAACAGAAUAAGCACCGGCUAACUUCGUG